RNAcentral lists this long non-coding RNA (1331 nucleotides) under Homo sapiens (human). RNAcentral describes it as "non-protein coding lnc-COL6A6-2:1". Lineage: Eukaryota; Metazoa; Chordata; Mammalia; Primates; Hominidae. The record is from RNAcentral.
GAUCUAACCUAUAUCUAAUUGGAAUUCUAGAAAGAUAAAAUAGAAAUAAUGAGAGCCAAUAUUCAAAGACAUAAAGAGAUUAUCAUUUUCUAGAACUUAUGAAUGACAUGAAUUCACAGAUGAAGAAAAAAGAUAUAACAGGCAAGAUAAAUAGAAAGCAACAGUUGGACAUAGUAUGGGGAAAUGCAGGACACCAAGACAAAAGCAGCCAAAAAGAAAGGGCAGAUUAUCUACAAAUAAAUUGUAAUUAGGCUGGUAGGUGAUUUAUCAAUUGUAACAGUGGAAACCACAAAACUAUUGAAUAACUUUAGUGGAAGAAAAUUUUGUCAACUUAGAAAAACUGUCUUAAGACAAUUUAGACUUAAACAAUAGUUUACUACAAAAAAGUCUUUAUUAAAGAAACUUCUACAGUAUGUACUUCAAGAAAAAUAAAAAAUAAGAGAUUUGGACCUAACACCUGGUUCUGUCACUGAUUCCUUGUGACAUGGACUCCAUUUCUUCACCUUAGAACAAAUGCUGCUGGAGAGAUUAUUCCUCUGCUUAAUGGAGGGAUUAUUCCUCUGCUUAAAUUUACCAUUUAAAAAUACCACCAAAACCACAAACUCUUAGGAUGCAUGAAUACAGUUUAACUGCUUUGAAUAGCAUUUUUAAUAGCAAAAAUGUGUUUAUACUAUAAUAGCUUACAACCAUCUUUUCAAAAAUUCCCAGUUUCAUGGAACUUCCAUUUUAGUGGGGACAACAGACAAAAAUGCAAAGGCCCUUCUGAAGCAGGAGUGUGCUUAGUUGAAAAAACAAGUCAGUGUGGCAGGAACAGACUGAGAAUGGGAGAUAAGUAGGAGAAAGGGCAGUAAUGCUGGUCAUUUUCCAUUUGCUGCUCUAAAUCUGACCUGAAUGAACCACAUCAACAAGCUUCUGUACUCCCUCUGGCUGGGUCCGCCAGCCUGUGGUAGGCUAAAUAAUGGCCCCAAAGGUAUCCAAGUCCUAUCCCCUGGAACCUGUGAAUGGUACCUUAUGUGGCAAAGUGACUUUGCAGAUGUGAUGAAAUUAAGGACCUUGAGACAGAUUAUUCUGGAUUACUCAGGGGGCCCUACAUGUAAUCACAAAUCUCCUUAGGCGAGGGAGGCAGAUUUGGCAGCAAGAACAGAAAGCAGUAUAACAAUGAAACAAGAUGCUAUGUUGCUGGCUCUGAAGAUGAAAGAAGGAGCCAAGGAAUUUGGUUCUAGAAGCAGGAAAAGGCAAGGAAAUAGAUGUUCCCCUAGUGCCUCCAGAGGGAAUACAAGUCUGCUGCUACCUUGAUUUUGGUCCACAAAACCCAUUUCAGACUUCUGGCC